GCCUUUAUGUGCAGAGAGGAGACGGCCUUGUAGCGCUGUGGAGUAACUGCUGGCACAGAAGUACACAGAUGUCUGGGAGGGAGCAGCCGACAGCAGCCUGAGCGGGAAAUCCUCUGUGGUUGAUCUGGAGACAUUGUAGCCAUUGGGGACUUCUCCUUGGUCAGUGAUACCAGCACCAACUGAGUAAUGAAUCAGCCUCAGCCCCAUGCCUGGGUCUUGUCGAUACCAGGACAUGUAUUCAUGGUUCAUAUCCUGGGCACACUGCAGUGUCAUGCUCUGUCCUGUCUUCAGGACCUGGAAUUUUGGGGUCUGAGUGACACCAGCAUUCACUGGACUGCCCACAGGAGAGACAAGGCUGCACAGCACAGGAGGCCGAUGCUCAUGGCAGAUGCUGCAUGACGGAGGGGUCUUCUGUAUCUGUGCAUUGAUGAAAGGGGAGCAGGACUCUCA
This 450-nucleotide long non-coding RNA is filed under the name Homo sapiens (human). RNAcentral describes it as "long non-coding RNA NONHSAT123792.2". The record is from RNAcentral. Lineage: Eukaryota; Metazoa; Chordata; Mammalia; Primates; Hominidae.